CACACACCUGUGCAGAGCCGGUGGCAAGCCCUCCCGGCACAGGAAUGGCAUGCCCCCAGCUGCUGCCCCUUCUGCUUUUGGUGCUGGUGCUGCUGCUGAAAGCUGAUGGGAAUUACAGUACUACUUCCUUUACAGUUCCGAAUCCCUGACCUUGCACUGGAGCCCCACUUCCCACAGCCCCAGAACGGAGCCCUUGACCUCCACUGACCAGAACUUGGAGCCCCCUGGCCCAGCUCCAGGUGACACUAGGCCCCGUGAGUUACACAGGAACCCGAGCGUGGUGGUGGUCGUGUGUUUGCUGGUGUCUCUUUUGCUCAUCGGGUCUGUGGUCAUGGCUGUGAGAUUUUGUCACCGGGAUGAGUCCAAGUUUGAGAACCUGGACGAGGUGUCCAUGGGAUCCGUGAAUGACAGAUUGUCCUUUGCCCACCACCUCCAGGAGUGAGCCCUGAGGAGCCAACAGAGAUGGGGGCAUGGAUGCGGCUGGGGUCCCUGGGGAGGAGCAGAACCUGAGGAAAUAAAGCCCUUACCAUUCAUCCAAGGCCUCCUGAGUUAUGGACUCGUGUGACAAACAUUAACUGAGCACCUACUAUGUGCUGGGCUCUGUGCUGGGGUC
RNAcentral lists this small RNA (613 nucleotides) under Pongo abelii (Sumatran orangutan). Its description in RNAcentral is "processed transcript". Lineage: Eukaryota; Metazoa; Chordata; Mammalia; Primates; Hominidae. The record is from RNAcentral.